UCAAACUUGGUCAUUUAGAGGAAGUAAAAGUCGUAACAAGGUUUCCGUAGGUGAACCUGCGGAAGGAUCAUCAUUGAAUCCCAUUUUUACAAACCCUUGUGAAUCGUAUGCAAAAGAGUGUUUGGCGGAUUUGGCUCGGCGGUCGUGGUGUGCCGUGUGCACGCGACGGUCGUUGUGGCUGCGUCUCCUCUCGGACGAGAGUGAGCGGUCCGCCAUCCGCUCGCAUUUCAAACACACACUUCAAUAAACUAAACAAAAUAAAUUAAUAAAUACAACUUUCAACAAUGGAUCUCUUGGCUCUUGCAUCGAUGAAGAACGCAGC
RNAcentral lists this unclassified non-coding RNA (322 nucleotides) under uncultured fungus. RNAcentral describes it as "partial contains small subunit ribosomal RNA, internal transcribed spacer 1, and 5.8S ribosomal RNA". The stretch from base 1 to 73 matches the Rfam family "Eukaryotic small subunit ribosomal RNA", at positions 1759 to 1831 of the family's 1831-position model. The record is from RNAcentral. Lineage: Eukaryota; Fungi.